RNAcentral lists this ribosomal RNA (420 nucleotides) under uncultured Gammaproteobacteria bacterium. RNAcentral describes it as "bacterial SSU rRNA". It matches the Rfam family "Bacterial small subunit ribosomal RNA", at positions 9 to 425 of the family's 1533-position model. Lineage: Bacteria; Pseudomonadati; Pseudomonadota; Gammaproteobacteria. The record is from RNAcentral.
GAGUUUGAUCAUGGCUCAGAGUGAACGCUGGCGGCAGGCCUAACACAUGCAAGUCGAACGGCAGCACAGCAGUAGCAAUACUGUGGGUGGCGAGUGGCGGACGGGUGAGGAAUACAUGGGAAUCUGCCCUGUCGUGGGGGAUAACGUAGGGAAACUUACGCUAAUACCGCAUACGACCGGAAGGUGAAAGCGGCGGACCGCAAGGCGUCGCGCGACUGGAUGAGCCCAUGUCGGAUUAGCUAGUUGGCGGGGUAAAGGCCCACCAAGGCGACGAUCCGUAGCUGGUCUGAGAGGAUGAUCAGCCACACUGGAACUGAGACACGGUCCAGACUCCUACGGGAGGCAGCAGUGGGGAAUAUUGGACAAUGGGCGCAAGCCUGAUCCAGCCAUGCCGCGUGAGUGAAGAAGGCCUUCGGGUUG